CUGCUCACUUCAGUAGCGUGUACACUAAAACACGGACAAUACAGAGAAGAUUGGCAUGACUUCUGCACAAGGAGGAUACACACAUUCAUGAAAGGUUUCAUAUUAAA
Small nuclear RNA from Erinaceus europaeus (western European hedgehog), 107 nucleotides. The record is from Ensembl. Lineage: Eukaryota; Metazoa; Chordata; Mammalia; Eulipotyphla; Erinaceidae.